Molecule: ribosomal RNA, 300 nt
Filed under: uncultured bacterium
Lineage: Bacteria
Description: bacterial SSU rRNA
Rfam family: Bacterial small subunit ribosomal RNA
Source: RNAcentral
UAAGUCCCGCAACGAGCGNAACCCCUACUUCUAGUUGCCAUCAGGUUAAGCUGGGCACUCUAGUAGGACUGCCUGUGAUAAGCAGGAGGAAGUUGGGAUGACGUCAAGUCCUCAUGGCCCUUACGUGUUGGGCUACACACGUGCUACAAUGGCAGUGACAAUGAGAUGCUAAACGGCAACGUUAAGCUAAACUCAAAAACCUGCCUCAGUUCGGAUUGCACUCUGCAACUCGAGUGCAUGAAGCUGGAAUCGCUAGUAAUCGCUCAUCAGCGCGGAGCGGUGAAUACGUUCCCGGGUCUU